AUUGAACGCUGGCGGCAGGCCUAACACAUGCAAGUCGAGCGGAUAAAGGGAGCUUGCUCCUGGAUUCAGCGGCGGACGGGUGAGUAAUGCCUAGGAAUCUGCCUGGUAGUGGGGGAUAACGUCCGGAAACGGGCGCUAAUACCGCAUACGUCCUGAGGGAGAAAGUGGGGGAUCUUCGGACCUCACGCUAUCAGAUGAGCCUAGGUCGGAUUAGCUAGUUGGUGGGGUAAAGGCCUACCAAGGCGUCGAUCCGUAACUGGUCUGAGAGGAUGAUCAGUCACACUGGAACUGAGACACGGUCCAGACUCCUACGGGAGGCAGCAGUGGGGAAUAUUGGACAAUGGGCGAAAGCCUGAUCCAGCCAUGCCGCGUGUGUGAAGAAGGUCUUCGGAUUGUAAAGCACUUUAAGUUGGGAGGAAGGGCAGUAAGUUAAUACCUUGCUGUUUUGACGUUACCAACAGAAUAAGCACCGGCUAACUUCGUG
This 484-nucleotide ribosomal RNA is filed under the name uncultured bacterium. RNAcentral describes it as "partial 16S ribosomal RNA". It matches the Rfam family "Bacterial small subunit ribosomal RNA", at positions 30 to 507 of the family's 1533-position model. The record is from RNAcentral.